Molecule: ribosomal RNA, 1067 nt
Filed under: Microdiplodia miyakei
Lineage: Eukaryota; Fungi; Ascomycota; Dothideomycetes; Botryosphaeriales; Botryosphaeriaceae
Description: eukaryotic LSU rRNA
Rfam family: Eukaryotic large subunit ribosomal RNA (bases 469-1067)
Source: RNAcentral
CUAGGCCGUAACAAGCCUUGAACCCUUCUCUACGCGCACCUUUACCUUCUCCUUCGGCGGGUCAGCGCCCGCCGUCGGAACCAACAAACCCCCCUUUUGCAUCUAGCAUACCACCCGUUCCGAUACAAAACACAAUCGUUACAACUUUCAACAAUGGAUCUCUUGGCUCUGGCAUCGAUGAAGAACGCAGCGAAAUGCGAUAAGUAGUGUGAAUUGCAGAAUUCAGUGAAUCAUCGAAUCUUUGAACGCACAUUGCGCCCCUUGGUAUUCCAUGGGGCAUGCCUGUUCGAGCGUCAUCUACACCCUCAAGCUCUGCUUGGUGUUGGGCGUCUGUCCCCGCCUCCGCGCGCGGACUCGCCCCAAAUCCAUUGGCAGCGUCCCCUCGCCCCCCUCUCGCGCAGCACGAAUGCGCAUGACGAGGGAGCGGCUCCCGGGGUCGCGACCCACCCCCAAGAUGACCACCGUCUUUGACCUCGGAUCAGGUAGGGAUACCCGCUGAACUUAAGCAUAUCAAUAAGCGGAGGAAAAGAAACCAACAGGGAUUGCCUCAGUAACGGCGAGUGAAGCGGCAACAGCUCAAAUUUGAAAUCUGGCCCCCCUCUGGGGGGUCCGAGUUGUAAUUUGCAGAGGGCGCUUUGGCAUCGGCGGCGGUCUAAGUUCCUUGGAACAGGACAUCGCAGAGGGUGAGAAUCCCGUACGUGGGCGCCUGCCUUUGCCGUGUAAAGCCCCUUCGACGAGUCGAGUUGUUUGGGAAUGCAGCUCUAAAUGGGAGGUAAAUUUCUUCUAAAGCUAAAUACCGGCCAGAGACCGAUAGCGCACAAGUAGAGUGAUCGAAAGAUGAAAAGUACUUUGGAAAGAGAGUCAAAUAGCACGUGAAAUUGUUGAAAGGGAAGCGCUUGCAGCCAGACGUGCGCGCGGUUGCUCACCCCGGCUCUCGCCUGGGGCACUCUUCCGCGCGCAGGCCAGCAUCAGUUCGGGCGGUCGGAUAAAGGCCUCUGUCAAGUACCUUCCCCCGGGAAGGCCUUAUAGGGGAGGCGCAAUGCGACCAGCCCGGACUGAGGUCCGCG